GAUAGCCGUUGGAAACGACGAAUAAUACCCUAUGAAACUAUCACUUCGCAUGAAGCGAUAGUCAAAGUGUUAGCGGUGUAAGAUGGACUUGCGUCUGAUUAGCUAGUUGGUGAGAAAAAAGCCCACCAAGGCAACGAUCAGUAGCCGGCUUGAGAGAGUGUACGGCCACAUUGGGACUGAGACACGGCCCAG
RNAcentral lists this ribosomal RNA (192 nucleotides) under uncultured Eubacteriales bacterium. RNAcentral describes it as "uncultured Clostridiales bacterium partial 16S ribosomal RNA". It matches the Rfam family "Bacterial small subunit ribosomal RNA", at positions 142 to 334 of the family's 1533-position model. Lineage: Bacteria; Bacillati; Bacillota; Clostridia; Eubacteriales. The record is from RNAcentral.